Molecule: ribosomal RNA, 545 nt
Filed under: uncultured bacterium
Lineage: Bacteria
Description: partial 16S ribosomal RNA
Source: RNAcentral
GGAGUUAGCCGGUGCUUCUUCUGCGAGUAACGUCACAGAUGUAAGGUAUUAACUUACACCCUUUCCUCCUCGCUGAAAGUGCUUUACAACCCGAAGGCCUUCUUCACACACGCGGCAUGGCUGCAUCAGGGUUUCCCCCAUUGUGCAAUAUUCCCCACUGCUGCCUCCCGUAGGAGUCUGGGCCGUGUCUCAGUCCCAGUGUGGCUGAUCAUCCUCUCAGACCAGCUAGGGAUCGUCGCCUAGGUGAGCCUUUACCUCACCUACUAGCUAAUCCCACCUGGGCUUAUCCAUCAGCGCAAGGCCCGAAGGUCCCCUGCUUUCCCCCGUAGGGCGUAUGCGGUAUUAGCAGUCGUUUCCAACUGUUAUCCCCCACAAAUGGGCAAAUUCCCAGGCAUUACUCACCCGUCCGCCGCUCGUCAUCUUCAAAAGCAAGCUUUUGAAAUGUUACCGCUCGACUUGCAUGUGUUAGGCCUGCCGCCAGCGUUCAAUCUGAGCCANAAUCAAACCUCACACUGAGGCGGUCGUGGACGACGGCGACGUAGUAG